GGCGGACGGGUGAGUAACGCGUGGGUAACCUACCCUGUACAGGGGGAUAACAGUCAGAAAUGACUGCUAAUACCGCAUAAGACCACAGCACCGCAUGGUGCAGGGGUAAAAACUACCGGUGGUACAGGAUGGACCCGCGUCUGAUUAGCUGGUUGGUGAGGUAACGGCUCACCAAGGCGACGAUCAGUAGCCGGCUUGAGAGAGUGAACGGCCACAUUGGGACUGAGACACGGCCCAAACUCCUACGGGAGGCAGCAUG
This 259-nucleotide ribosomal RNA is filed under the name uncultured bacterium. RNAcentral describes it as "partial 16S ribosomal RNA". It matches the Rfam family "Bacterial small subunit ribosomal RNA", at positions 97 to 353 of the family's 1533-position model. The record is from RNAcentral.